AUGCUGGGAUCUGUCACCCUUCUUCUCACCGUCCUGCUUCCUGCUGGCCAGACAGCGCUCACCAUUGACCAGCCAAUGGUCUCCCUGACCAAAAGGACAAGGGCGUCGGCAUCAUUUCUCUGCAAGCUUUCCGACAAAAACAUCGGGCACAUCCACUGGUAUCGCCAGCAGCCCGGGAAGGCUCCCCAGCGCCUGCUCUACUGUGAAAUGGCCACAUCUCAACCCAGCCUGGAUGCAGGAUUCAGCUCCGAUCAAUUUUCUACUUACAAGAACAUAGAUUAUACCUGUAUCCUGAAAGUACGGAUGCUGAGCAUUAGUGAUGCUGGUACCUAUUACUGCGCCAGCUGGGACUCCACAGUGAUACAGGUCCCUCCACCCUUCAUACAAAAAAACCACUGUCUGUGGUCACGAGGAGCAAGGCCUCCCCCGCAACAGUUCUGGCAGUGA
Molecule: non-coding RNA, 447 nt
Organism: Tachyglossus aculeatus (Australian echidna)
Lineage: Eukaryota; Metazoa; Chordata; Mammalia; Monotremata; Tachyglossidae
Source: the annotation of a RefSeq genome assembly